UACAGAGGGUGCAAACGUUGUUCGGAAUUACUGGGCGUAAAGCGUGUGUAGGCUGUUUAGCAGGUCGGAUGUGAAAGCCCUCGGCUCAACCGGGGAAGUGCAUUCGAAACCGCAAAGCUAGAGUGUCGGAGAGGAAGGCGGAAUUGUCGGUGUAGAGGUGAAAUUCGUAGAUAUCGACAGGAACACCUGCGGCGAAAGCGGCCUUCUGGACGAACACUGACGCUGAAACACGAAAGCGUGGGGAGCAAACAGG
This 253-nucleotide ribosomal RNA is filed under the name uncultured bacterium. Its description in RNAcentral is "partial 16S ribosomal RNA". It matches the Rfam family "Bacterial small subunit ribosomal RNA", at positions 524 to 776 of the family's 1533-position model. The record is from RNAcentral.